CGCAAGGGCUGCGCCCGCCCCCCGACUGCGCGGACCGCUUGAGAGACAGCGGGACAGAGAUGGGCCCAGGGCACUAUCCUCAGGGCCCGAGCGGAGCGCGGCGCUCCGCCUGGCCGCCGCCACCGGCCCGCGCCCCGGCGCGGGGAACAAGCGUGCGCAGGCGGGGGCGCGCGCGUGCCCGGUGGGGGCCGCACGCACGUUCGGCCCCGCCACGCGGGGCGCUGCGGUGCGUCCUCCGCGAAGCCUUCCCGGCUCGGGAGCUGAGCCAUUCCUCUUGAGACCCCCAGGCCUUAACUGGAAUGUCUGCGUCCCCUUCCCUCAGGCUGGUGGUGAGAGAAUCUGCAGUUUGUUCGCCUGCCCAUCCCAGCGUCCGACCAGAAACAGCAGGCACACAGGGGGCGCCUGCUGAGUGUGUGAACCCCCACGGUAGAGCAGGGCACUCUGCGAGAGGAAAACGGUAACAGCAGCGGUCACUCUGUCUCACACCUUCCCAGGCUGGGCGCUCUCAUGCACUCCUGGUUCCAUCUGCGCCCAGGAUAAAUGCAGCGGUGCUGGUCUGCAUUUCGGAGAGGAGAAAACGGAAACCAAAAAGGAUGGACCAUGGAAUGAGCUGAGAGAGUCCCCCUCCCCACCUCCUCAGCCACCACCGAACUUCCCCUUCCCGACUGCCCUCGUGGGUGGGGCCCUCAGAGACCGGGGACCAGCAGGAGACCAACAGAGGCCUUAGCAACGCCCCAAGCCUCUGUGUUGCAGCAACAGGCCACUAGGCAAGGUGGCACUGCACUUGGGCCAGACUUCCUUUUGCUUAUGGAGCAUGCAGCAGCCCCAGGCCCCAGGCCGGAGCCCCCACCCUGGGCCACUGAGAAUGUUCUGCGGCAGGCCGAGGACUGGACAACCAGCCUCAAGACAGAGCUUCCCUCAGAUCUACAACUGAGUGAGGAGCAGCGGCUGCAGAUCUCCAAGGAGUUGGUUGACCUGCAGAUCACAACGCAUCACUUGCGGGAGCAACACGAGGCUGAACUCUUCGAGCUGAAGAGUGAGGUCCUGCGGCUGGAGAGCCGGGUGCUGGAGCUGGAGCUGCAUGGAGAUUGUGCAGCCCCGGCAGAGGCUGACCUGGGGCGCCGCCAGAAGCCGGCACAGGGGCUUGGGCACAAGGCCCGGGAGCAGCUACAGGGAGAAUGGCAGCGAGUGCUGGAGCAGCACAGGGCCCAGAAGCAGGCGCUGGAGACCCGCGUGGCAGAUCUGGGUCGGCGGCUGCAGGGAGCCCGAGAGGAGGCCAAGAUAGCUGGGCAGCGACUGGCCACACAAGCCAUGGUAUUGUCUGCCUGCCAGGGCCAGCUCCGCCAGGCUGAGGCGGAGAACGCCCAGCUGCAGCUGCAGCUCAAGAAGCUGAACCAAGAGUAUGCCAUCCAGCUGCAGCGAUGUGCCCAAGCCGUGGCCGAGUCUGCAAAGCGCACCGGCCAGGUGCCCGAAGCCGCAGCCCUUAGGACGUUCCUGGAGACCACUCUGGAGGACAUCCGGGCAGCACACCGCAGCCGUGAACUGCAGUUGGCCCGGGCUGCUCGCGCCUACCGCAAGCGCCUGGCAGAUCUGAGCCGUAGACAUGAGGAGCUGCUGGCCAACCACAGUGUGCAGCAGGUGCCGGCGGACCCCAGUGGGGCACCCUGGACCCCCGAGGCUACCUUUGAUGCAGCCACCUCAGACCUGGAGCCACUGCCUCUGCACCUGGUCACCGAACUCAGUCACCUACCAGAGAACCAGGCCAGGCUGGAGACGAAGCUCUGGAAGCUCCAGGCCCAGAAGGGACCCAGUGGAGCCUCCCAGGGGAGCACAUCAGAGCCACAGGGUCAGGAACCUGCCUCCUGGGCCCAGAUCCACCAGAAGCUCCGGGACUUCUCCCGUGGCACCCAGAGCUGGAACGUGAGCGGGCAAAGCUACUAGUCCGGGCCACGAUGGCUGAGGAGCAACUUUCUGAGCUACAGGACUAUGUGGACCAGCACUUAGGCAGGUACAAACAAGAGAUCCUGAGGCUGAGGAAGCUAAUGGGUACAGAGGAUGUCUGCAAAGUGGGGGCCACCCCUCCAGUCAAGCCCCAGCACUCCAAGACCCACAGCCGCUAGCCAGCUGUCAAAUGCACUCAGCAGAA
Panthera uncia (snow leopard) is the source of this 2146-nucleotide RNA transcript. It is a transcript of the gene named coiled-coil domain containing 78, with no coding region annotated. The record is from RefSeq and is a predicted model, not a curated record. Lineage: Eukaryota; Metazoa; Chordata; Mammalia; Carnivora; Felidae. The transcript is spliced from 13 exons.